GUUGAGUUACAGGUGUGUCUGCAGGGAGGACUUCUCAGGCUCCAGGGCUGGAUGCUUGGCCCCAACCCAGCUCCCAUGGCAGGGGUCCUCCAAAAGGAAAGACCCAAGAUACUGCAGCCAAAACAUCUCAUGAGGCAGAUGAAUUCCUGAGACAAACACAGAAGCAAGCACCCCGAGGACAAGUGAUGGACCAAAAGGCUGUUCAGGAGGAGGAACACUCAGGGAGAAGCAGUGGCUCAUUGGCAGCCCUCGCUGCAGGAAGGAAGGCGAUGCCAGACACGGG
Molecule: long non-coding RNA, 283 nt
Organism: Passer domesticus (house sparrow)
Lineage: Eukaryota; Metazoa; Chordata; Aves; Passeriformes; Passeridae
Exons: 3
Source: RefSeq, a predicted model, not a curated record